GUCCCUUUCGUCCAGUGCUUAGGACAUCGUCUUUUCAUGUCGAAGACAGGGGUUCGAUUCCCGAAAGAGAUC
RNAcentral lists this transfer RNA (72 nucleotides) under Geranium maderense. Its description in RNAcentral is "tRNA-Glu". It matches the Rfam family "tRNA". From Rfam's summary of the family: Transfer RNA (tRNA) molecules are approximately 80 nucleotides in length. Their secondary structure includes four short double-helical elements and three loops (D, anti-codon, and T loops). The record is from RNAcentral. Lineage: Eukaryota; Viridiplantae; Streptophyta; Magnoliopsida; Geraniales; Geraniaceae.